Molecule: ribosomal RNA, 424 nt
Filed under: uncultured bacterium
Lineage: Bacteria
Description: bacterial SSU rRNA
Rfam family: Bacterial small subunit ribosomal RNA
Source: RNAcentral
GGGGAAUUUUGGACAAUGGGGGCAACCCUGAUCCAGCCAUGCCGCGUGCGGGAAGAAGGCCUUCGGGUUGUAAACCGCUUUUGUCGGGGAAGAAAUCCUCCGGGCUAAUAUCCUGGGGGGAUGACGGUACCCGAAGAAUAAGCACCGGCCAACUACGUGCCAGCAGCCGCGGUAAUACGUAGGGUGCGAGCGUUAAUCGGAAGUACUGGGCGUAAAGCGUGCGCAGGCGGUUGUGCAAGACAGAUGUGAAAUCCCCGGGCUUAACCUGGGAACUGCAUUUGUGACUGCACAGCUGGAGUGCGGCAGAGGGGGAUGGAAUUCCGCGUGUAGCAGUGAAAUGCGUAGAUAUGCGGAGGAACACCGAUGGCGAAGGCAAUCCCCUGGGCCUGCACUGACGCUCAUGCACGAAAGCGUGGGGAGCAAA